GGAUCCUUAGCUCAAUUGGUAGAGCGCCGCACUCAUAAUGCGUGGGUUUCCAGUUCAAAUCUGGGAGGAUCCACCA
RNAcentral lists this transfer RNA (76 nucleotides) under marine sediment metagenome. RNAcentral's name for it is "tRNA-Met". It matches the Rfam family "tRNA". From Rfam's summary of the family: Transfer RNA (tRNA) molecules are approximately 80 nucleotides in length. The record is from RNAcentral.